CCUACGGGUGGCAGCAGUGGGGAAUAUUGGACAAUGGGGGCAACCCUGAUCCAGCCAUGCCGCGUGUGUGAAGAAGGCCCUCGGGUUGUAAAGCACUUUCAGUGAGGAAGAACGCCUGGUGGUUAAUACCCAUCAGGAAAGACAUCACUCACAGAAGAAGCACCGGCUAACUCCGUGCCAGCAGCCGCGGUAAUACGGAGGGUGCGAGCGUUAAUCGGAAUUACUGGGCGUAAAGCGCGCGUAGGUGGCUUGAUAAGCCGGUUGUGAAAGCCCCGGGCUCAACCUGGGAACGGCAUCCGGAACUGUCAAGCUAGAGUGCAGGAGAGGAAGGUAGAAUUCCCGGUGUAGCGGUGAAAUGCGUAGAGAUCGGGAGGAAUACCAGUGGCGAAGGCGGCCUUCUGGACGGACACUGACACUGAGGUGCGAAAGCGUGGGUAGCAAACAGGAUUAGAUACCCGGGUAGUC
RNAcentral lists this ribosomal RNA (465 nucleotides) under Vreelandella stevensii. Its description in RNAcentral is "partial 16S ribosomal RNA". It matches the Rfam family "Bacterial small subunit ribosomal RNA", at positions 338 to 795 of the family's 1533-position model. Lineage: Bacteria; Pseudomonadati; Pseudomonadota; Gammaproteobacteria; Oceanospirillales; Halomonadaceae. The record is from RNAcentral.